Molecule: ribosomal RNA, 255 nt
Filed under: uncultured bacterium
Lineage: Bacteria
Description: partial 16S ribosomal RNA
Rfam family: Bacterial small subunit ribosomal RNA
Source: RNAcentral
CGGCACGGGUGAGUAACACGUAUGCAACCUGCCCUCUUCAGGGGGACAACCUUCCGAAAGGGAGGCUAAUCCCGCGUAUAUCAGUUUCGGGCAUCCGAGAUCGAGGAAAGAUUCAUCGGAAGAGGAUGGGCAUGCGGCGCAUUAGCUAGACGGCGGGGUAACGGCUCACCGUGGCGACGAUGCGUAGGGGUUCUGAGAGGAAGGUCCCCCACACUGGUACUGAGACACGGACCAGACUCCUACGGAAGGCAGCAG